RNAcentral lists this ribosomal RNA (483 nucleotides) under Pontastacus leptodactylus (narrow-clawed crayfish). RNAcentral describes it as "Astacus leptodactylus (narrow-clawed crayfish) partial large subunit ribosomal RNA". It matches the Rfam family "Bacterial large subunit ribosomal RNA", at positions 1857 to 2602 of the family's 2925-position model. The record is from RNAcentral. Lineage: Eukaryota; Metazoa; Arthropoda; Malacostraca; Decapoda; Astacidae.
ACCUGCCCAUUGGAAUCUAAAAGGCCGCGGUAUUAUGACCGUGCUAAGGUAGCAUAAUCAUUAGUCUUUUAAUUGGAGGCUGGUAUGAAUGGUUGGACAAGAAAUAAGCUGUCUUAAAUAAAAAUAUUGAAUUUAACUUUUAAGUGAAAAGGCUUAAAUUUUCUAAGGGGACGAUAAGACCCUAUAAAACUUUAUAUUUUAAAAUAAUAAUUAAUUUUUAUAUAGAAGAUUUAUUUUUAAAUAUUUUAUUGGGGUGAUAAAGAUAAAAUGUGAAAUAACUGUCUUUUUUUUUUUACAAUUAAUAUUUGAGUAAAAGAUCUUAACAAAGGAAAUAAGAGAUUAAGUUACUUUAGGGAUAACAGCGUAAUUUUCUUUAAGAGUUCUUAUCGACAAGAAAGUUUGCGACCUCGAUGUUGAAUUAAAAGUUCUUUAUAGAGUAGAUAUUAUAAUAGAGGGUCUGUUCGACCCUUAAAAUUUUACGUG